This 425-nucleotide ribosomal RNA is filed under the name uncultured bacterium. RNAcentral's name for it is "bacterial SSU rRNA". It matches the Rfam family "Bacterial small subunit ribosomal RNA", at positions 917 to 1345 of the family's 1533-position model. The record is from RNAcentral.
GGGCCCGCACAAGCGGUGGAGCAUGUGGUUUAAUUCGAUGAUACGCGAGGAACCUUACCAGGGCUUAAAUGUAGAUUGACAGAUUUGGAAACAGAUUUUUCUUCGGACAAUUUACAAGGUGCUGCAUGGUUGUCGUCAGCUCGUGCCGUGAGGUGUCAGGUUAAGUCCUAUAACGAGCGCAACCCCUACCGUUAGUUGCCAGCGAGUCAUGUCGGGGACUCUAGCGGAACUGCCGGCGUAAGCCGCGAGGAAGGUGGGGAUGACGUCAAAUCAUCACGGCCCUUACGUCCUGGGCUACACACGUGCUACAAUGGUACGGACAAUGAGCAGCCACAUGGUGACAUGGAGCUAAUCUUCAAACCGUAUCUCAGUUCGGAUCGAAGUCUGCAACUCGACUUCGUGAAGCUGGAAUCGCUAGUAAUCGG